Non-coding RNA from Heterocephalus glaber (naked mole-rat), 8224 nucleotides. The record is from RefSeq and is a predicted model, not a curated record. Lineage: Eukaryota; Metazoa; Chordata; Mammalia; Rodentia; Bathyergidae.
CUAGGAGCUUGGGAUGGCAGUGGGGGAGCUUCCUUCCAGGCAUUAUCCUAAUGGGUGUGGAUGGUAUACUACUAUGGUUUUGAUUUGGAUUUCCCUAGUGACUAAUGUUAUUGAGCACCUGGUCAUACACUUAUUGGCUGGCCAUAGAAUAGAUAGAUGAAGAAAGUGAAAGCUCGGAGAGGCGAAGUGCUUGAUGUCACAUGGUUAGGGAGCUACUGAAAUUCAGCUAAGCAAAUAAUUGAUUAAAAGAAGAUCGAACUCGGGUCCUUGCACUUGUGCAACCACUGAGCUAAAUCCCAGGCCCUUGCUGAUCUUAUAAAGGAGAGAAAUGUGGACACAGGAGAUCCAGAAGAUGUGGCAGGAUCCAAGGAAUGCCAAAGAUUGCCAGCAAAACAGCAGAAGUUAGGAAAAGGCCAUGGGACAGAUUCUCUUGCACAUCCUCAAAAGGAACCAACCCCACUAACACCUUGAUCUUGGACUUCUGGCCUCCUGACAUGUGAGAUGGCAAACUACUUAGUUUGUGGUACUCUGUUACAGUAGUCCAGCAAACUAAUACAGAUAAUGUAAGCAAAUACAGUCUGUGAAUCUGAUGACACUACCGAAAAUGUAUGAUUACUGCUUUAUUGUUUGUGAAGAUGUUGUUGAACCGGUUAGUGGAAAAUAAUCACAAAUGUUGACAUGUCUGUAAUGUACAAAAUGGUAUCAUCCAGGAGAACUGCUUGAGGUAUUCCACACAGAAAGGAGUUACUAGAAGGAACUUGAUGUUUGUAGAAUAUUUGAAAGGAGUAGAAGAGAAAAGUCAGGAAAAACUGUGGAUGGUUUCAGGAAAUUAAGGAGUUAUGAAAAUUAUAAAUAAAUCCUCAUCACCAAUGAUCUCAGCUACCAGAAACAUGAAAUAGAUGCAAAACUCACAGGAAGACAGAGGGAAGCCUUUGUAAAACCUCCUGCCUGCCUCCUGCCCGCCAACACGAGAGGACCAAUAAUAACUUGUUGCUCUUCCACCUUCCAGAUCUCACAAGAACAUCUCUAACUGGUGGACUCAAAACCAGGUAACAAGGGAAUCUGAGAAACGUAGACUUGUUUCCAGCUCCCUAUAUUGCAAGAACUCAAAAGGGCUGGAAUAGUUCUUCAGGCUAACAGAGAGUAUCCAGCACAAAGUAUAUUUGAAAAUCACAAAAACAAACUCAAAAUCUCUUUGAGGUUUUUUUUUGGUACUAGGGGUAGAACUCAGGUCCUUGUGCUUGAGCAGCCAGCAGCGAAACCACUGAGCUAAAUCCAUGGCUCUCUUUGAGGUUCCAAGGAGACAAUAUUUGUGAAUUUUCUUUGAAAAAUAAGAUGUGCUAUGUAAACUCAAUAUAUUUUAUAGCUAGAGAGGGUUCAUUAUCAUAGAUAGGACAUUUCAAUGAAACAAUUUAAAAGAAAAAAAUCUAGAUAACUGAUAAUUAUUUCAAAACUCUUAUUUUAAAUGGGGGAAUAUAUUUGCAUGCACAUGUCAGUGAGUACAUAUUUGCUGUGAUGAGAUUGUAUGCACAGUUUUGUAUUUUCUAUUUGCAUGUAAGCCUCUGUGUGAGGAGGCCUCUGUGUGUGCGUGUGUGUGUGUGCGUGCAUGUGUGUGUGUGUGUGUGUGUGUGUGUAAAUCUGGUGUUAGGCUGGAGAGCCUAAUACAGUCUAUUCUGCCAGAAGGUCUGGUCUAGCCAUUUCUGACGCAUCUUCAGGACCUAGACUGGAUCACCUUAUCUGUCACCUGAUUCCUCUUGCUUUCCUAUUCUAACAGCCACUCUAUAUCCCAAACAUCUUUCUUUUUAUCCCACUGCAUCUGCCUUGGCGAAGGCAUCUUCAUAUCUCACCUGUGGUUGGUGGUUUAGUAUCACCUUUACUUCCAUAUUCAAACCUGCUCUUUGAGAAAAUUCACUUAUUCUACAUAUAAAUGGAACCUCUUUUUCUUAACCUUUCUUGUUCACUAAGUGGAGAGUUGGCUCAGUGGUCAAAUGGUUUCCACAAAGACCCCCGUUAUCACAUUACUGGUGUGUUCAGAAACUUAUAAUUUAUGUCUUAUAAUUAGAUAAGCUGCUAAUCGAGGAGAGGCAUAACAACCUGAUUUGAGUCUUGACAAAGUGACUAGAUCCUUAAUGACGAGGUGGUGAUGAAGCAUCGGGACUCCUUAUCUGCUCUGGUUCCUGUACCUUGUUCUGGAAUGGGAGAGCUCUCAGUUAGAGAGUCUGUCUUUUACUUGAUAAAGCUUUGUGAAUAAACCUGGAGAUGAACUCGCAGGAAAGGAAUUCAUCCUCCCUGAGCUGGAGGAAGUCAUUAUGAUUUUGAGGCAGCAUCUAAAUUUUUUCAAAUCGUCAGAAAAGCAAUUUCAGUCCACACUGCUGCAGGAGUCUUGCUUCUUCCUUUUCUCCUUUCCUCCCUUUCUAUUAUAUACUUAAUCAUAAACAAGCUGAAUGAGGUUGAUGCAUUGGACAUGAUCCUCGUAAUGUUUGAUGCUCAGAGCUUGGUAUAGAGUUGACAGUAGAUUUUGUCAUGAUGUGAACAUGCCAAGGACUAUGCUGACACUGAAACAAAGGUGAGUCAGACCUGAACAGAUGCUGCCCUGGAGGAGAACAGAGGUAAGGAAACGAACACUUAAGUGCAGCAAGGUAAGAGCAGUGUGAGAAGUAAAUGUACAUGAUAAGGGAGCCAAGAGAAGUGGAAUCUGACUCUCCUGCGAACAGCAAAUAUUUCUUGGAAGGAGAGAAUAUACUAAGAUGAAUGUAAAGGAUACAGGCAUUUCCCUGGUGGAAAUUAGAAGAAGGAAUUCUUGGCAGAGAGGACAGCAUGGGUAGAGACGUGAAGGAGGCAUAAAAGACCAGGAUGUAUUUAGGGAAUUUCAAACUGCUGUGGCUUUAACACAGAGGACGAAGAGGCUAAUGAUGGAAUGUAAAUUUGGAGAGGGUGCUGGAGACAGGGCUGCUGGGGAUGACUUGUGAUUUACUUUGUGUGGGAGCAGCACUGAGGAAGGGAGUAAGGCUAAAAUAUAGCUUUGUUCUACUCUACCAGUGCACAAACUUGUGGCUACAACCUCCUUAGAAGAGGCUCUGUUUGUAACACACAAGGGCUCUUAUAGGAUAGCAUUGUCUCUGUGGGGAGCCUUGCAGAUCUUGCUAAGGUUGUGACUCUAUCUAGGCUGUUUCUCAAAUUUGGUUCAACAUCACUUGGAGAGCUGAUUAAAACAAAUUGCCGGCCAUAGCUUUGGGGUUUCUGGCUGUGAGUCUGGGGCAAGGCUUGGGAAUUUUUAUUUCUUUUAUGUUCUCAAGUGAUGCUGAUGCUACUGGUUUGGGGACCCACUCUGAGAAUCACUCAUCUGGGUAGUAGGAAGCCACUGGAAAGGGUUAGGUAGGAGAAGAAGAGCCAAGGGUCCGUUUUCUGCAUUCGAGUUUCUGAUAUCCUUAUGAACUAGUUAGGACAACUAGAUGUAUUAUGAAGAGUGGAUAUACAAUAUGUCCACCUUCCCCUUCCAACUGAAGGUCAUUAGCUGUGUUUACUUGAGUAGGGGUUCUGUUUAGGUCUUCUGUUUAGGAAGGAUUUGCUGUAGAUGAUUUAAGGACUGACCCCGUAGAGCUUUUACAUAGUGAGCUCCCAAAUGGUUUAAAAGUUUGUUUACUUUAUUAAUGACUCUCCAGAGAAAGCUGAAGCUACCAACUAAAAGAUGAGUCAUACAUGGUGAUAAAGCUUCUUUGAAAACUUUUGUUUAAUGAAUUCUUGACUUCAGAAUUAGAAUGCAUGUCCAUACAUGCAUGUGAGCAUAUUUGAUGAGAAGAAAGGAGAAGGAAAGACAAGGAGCCACGGGGUGUCAGAAUCUCACCCAUAUUAGUAAAUGUUUGCUGGAUGAAGAUGUGAGCAUUGAGCAUUAAACAUGCUAAUGGGGGAACCACCAUACCCUGUCAGGAAGUUGUUGGGUUGUGUCUGGCUCUGGGCUAGGAUUUGGAACUUUGGCCGGGAAGCCAAACCUUCCUCUAGUCCAGUCCUCAUUUGUGGUCCCAGAGAAUACUAAUCAGAUGUUUUCGUGCACACACAGAGAGAUUGGCUGUACCACUCUGUCCCUUGGGGUCUCAGGCCCACCUUGCCUUGAGGUUGGGGGCUGGAGCUCAGAGGUGUAGGAGCGCAGGGAGUCCAUCUUUAUUCUCUAGUCAGGAUAUAGUUUCCAGGAUGAACCAGUUUUGAGAUAGGGGUAGGGAGAGUGCACACUGGAAGAGCAUCCAACUUGAUUAUCUUUUGUCUCUUUCCAAGCUUGGCCCAGGCUUUCCUGAAAGCUCAAGGCAGGACAGGUGCGGGCGAUCUCUGUUACUCAGUGAUUUAGGGUGCCCAUUAGGGAGCCUCAUGCUGGCUGAAGGGCUGCCAGCCUCAACUAGCUCAGCUAUUACCAAACUGAGCCUGUCAGCAGUGUUAAUGGGAGAAGGAAAGUCUUGUCAGAGGCGGCUGGGUUCUAACUCUAGGUGUCAAGGAGAAAAGGAGAGAGGAGGGGAGGGAGUCCGUUCAGAAGCUACAAUCAAGAUUGGGUUGUUCUUAAUUAAGACAGCUCCAGGUAGCACAUUUUCAUAAUUUCCCAUUAAAGAGGUCCUGAUGUAUGAAUCACUGUGGGAGCUGUAAUCCCCAGAGUUAGCAUUGUUCUGUGUCUGAGACUCCUCAAAUAAAAAAACCCAUCCAUUUCAAUCACCAAUGCUUUAUGAGCACCUGAGAUGUUCCCUGUUCUAUGGCAGAUGCUAUGCUCAGCCUUGGAAGGGGCACAGCAAUGGAUAAGGCUGAGGUCCCUGCUGGCCAGGGCCAAAGCCUUGCUAGACCCUGACCUUGGGGGAGGAGCAUGGACCAGGUGCAUUUCUGUUCCAUGUGGGCUCUGGUGCUGAUGACUGGGAGGCAGAGUAGGGAAGAUGAAAGCAUGCCAGAUUUGGAAGCAGGAGGCCUGAGUUUCAUUCCCUUAGCACAUCUCUGUUAGGCCCUCUUGGUUUAGGGGUUUGGGAUUCAAAAAUGAAUACAAGACAGCUGGUGCCUUCAAGAGGCUGUAAGGGCCAGGAGAAACCCUAAAUCAAAAAUUGAGUUCACUAUGAUAAAUGUUAGAACAGUCGAGUAUGGAGCCCUCUGGGAAUGCUGAGGGCAGAGAGACUAAUUCUGCCUGGCAGAGGUGAGGUGGUAAAGAAGGUCCAAUUCUUGGCUUCCUUGAUUAUUGUGGUAUCGUCUUAGGGGUUAUAUGACAUUUAAUGGGCCUCAGUAUCAUCAUAUGCAAAGUGGAUAAUAUAAUCCACUUUCAGGACUCACCUGAAGAUUUAUGAGAGGAUGCAUAUGAAGGCUUUGGUGGAAUCUGCCUUUUCUUCUUGUGUCUCCCCAAGCGUCUCUCCUGACUUUUCGUUAGUGUGAACAUUUCACAUGUCGGUGUGAACUGUGAGGCUGUCCCCAGAUGUUGUCCAGCAGUCUUGGGCUUCAUAGACCACACUGGUCCUAGGAGAUGUUCUCUUCCUUCUCAGCCUGGUCACUGAGACCGGGAGGCAUGAUCCGGAGCUGGCAAGACAGUGUAAAGUAAUUGUCAUUCUUUGGAACAAGACAUGGAAUUAUGUUACAUGAUUUUGAAAUAUUUUCAUGCUAAAUAUAUCUCAGUGCAUGUAUUUAGGUUUGGCAUCCCCAGUAACCUUAAGAUGUCAAACUUUGCAUUUUAUAGGUGAAAUGGUUGAGUCUUGGAUAUUCUAAGUUACCUGAGGUCACAUAGGAAUUACACUUUGCAGAGCUAAAAUUAAAAGUAGUAUCUGUGGAGCUUGGAAGGGGUAAGAUAUUUCCGUGAAAUCAUGCUGCGUUUCACAUGUAAUUCCAUGAUGUAAGUAGUGAUAUUUCCCCACCACUGAUUUGCUCAUUACUGACCUCAUUUUGACUUCAUAACUAGUUUAAAAAAAUGUUGCACAUUGCAUGUUCAGUUUGAUUCUUGGUUCCAGCAAGAAGGCAGGUUAAGGGCCAGGGAUUUAGCUCAGUGACAUCAAGCCUGCCUGGCAAGUGCAAGAUCCUGAGUUUGAUCCCCGAUAUCAGAAAAAAAAAAAGAAGAAGGCAGGUUAAGAACGCACAAAACUUCCUGCAUAAAAAAACACCUAGAAAUGCUGGAUAAGAUAUAACAAUAACAACUCAAAACAAGUUGCUGAAUUUUCAAGAAAAAGAGAAAUCCCUAGAGACCUAAAGUAAAGAGGGAAUUGGAGAAAAGCUGUAACUACAGAGCUGAGGGUGUAGUUGGGAUGUUUGUGUAUGUGACUGGUCCUGUUAAUUUAAGAGCUUAGAUUGUAACAUCACAGUGGGGUGAGAGAGGAAAUUCUUGAGCUUGUUUAAGGGAGAAUAUUAGACAUGAGUCUUUGAGUCCUUGAUAUGAAACAAUAUGAAAACUCACAAUAAAAAUUAAAAAAUAAAUGAAGUCAGGAGUUGUAGUAAAAAAGUUAAAUAGAUAUCUAAGCAUUUAGGAUGCUAAAUAUGACUAUGAAAGAGAAUAAGUAAGAAUUUAAAAAAUCAUCAGAAUAUAAGAAAAGUUCAAAUAAAUUAAAAGUAUAAUUUCCAGAAUUAAAUUUUAGUUAUUGGAAAUUAAAAAGUUACUGGAUUCUAAGCAGUAAAUUAAAUAUAGCUGAGGAAUAAAUAAGUGAAGUAGAUGUACGAUUUAAGAAAAUUUCUGAAAAGCAGAGAGACAAAGAUAAGAAAAAAAUGUGUGUGUUCCAUAAACAUAAGCAUUUCAUGUAAAUAUAUUUAUGUGUGUGUAUGUAGAUAGAUAUAUAGUUACAUGGUUCUAGAUACAUAGAAUAAAAAGAUUUGGACAUAGGCAAGUUUUUAAAAGAUAUAGAGAAAUUAGCUGACAAUUUUUCAGAAUGGAUAAAAGGUAAGGAAUAGCAGGUUCAGAAAUAGAAUGAAUUCUUAGAAUUAUUUAAAUAAAGCCUCCUAUUAGAGGGUUUACAGAGCUCCAAGAACAAAGAAGAUAAUCAUAACAACAACAAAAGAGAAAAGAAUAAUAAUAUAAAAGAAUAAUAAUUAGAUUAGACUGACAGCAGUCUUCUUAACUGCAACAAUAGAUUUUAGAAGAUAAUGAAACACUAUUGCCGAGCACUGAGGCAAAAUAACUGUCAAUUGAGCAUUCCUUCCCAUUAUUAUUUGAGAGCAAGGAUUAGGUCAGGGCAUUUUUAGGUGAAGACUGCAUAAAUUAUAACCAAUUGGUCCUUCCUUAAAGAACUAGUCAAGAAUACUUCAAAAAAGAAUGAGACCUGAAGAAGAAAACUUAAAAGAGACUGGAUGUAGAAAAAUGACAAUGAAAAAAUAUCAUUUCAUCUUUGUGUGUAUACAAAAGACAUAUCCUUGUUUGCUGAAAUCAGAAUAAUAAUGGGUAGUCCUAGGGUACACAAACAGUACUGGACAAUGAAAUAUGAAUGAGGAGAGAAAGAGAAAUUAAGAUGUAUUGUCAUUAGGAAGGAUAGAAAAAUACAUAUCGGGUUUAGAUACUGUUAAAAUAAUAUGCAUGUUCAUAAAAAGUAAGAGUAAACACUAGGAGAACAGACAUUGAUCUCAUUUUUCUUUGUUGCUGGGACAAAACUUAAGAGAGGAGAGGUUUAUUUUGGCUCACAUUUCGGUCCAUAGUAGGCUGUCUCCAAGGCAGGACAGCACGGCAGGGGGCGUGGUGAAGGAGAGCUGCUCAUGGCAUGGGAGACAGGAAGAAGAGAGAAUCAAGAGAGGAGCCAGGAAGGGAGAUGAACUUCCAGGUCAUACGCACAGUGACCCCCAUCUUCUGACCAGACCCCACCUCCCAACACUAAGUUAGCUGUAGCACCCUAUAACCAGCUACCUUCCACAAGCCCCCCUUAUGAGAUCAUGAGGCUCUUGGGGGUCAUCUAGAUAUAAACCAUAACAGAUAGUAUGCCUUACAAAGCAGCAAGGGUAGGAAGAGGGGAACAAGCAAAAUUCACUGUGGUGGAAGGCAGGAGGGAAAAUAACAUGAAGAAAAAUUAGGGUAAGCAGAAAGCAUAAAAUAAUGCAGAAGAAACAAAUUUAAAUAUAUCAGUAAAUUAAAUCAUUAAUAGACCAAACCCACCACUUACGAGAUGAUGGCUAUCAGACAGGCUACAAAGCAAAACCCUGUUUAGGAGAGUUGUUUCUAAAACAUAGGAACUGAGAAUGGUAACAAGUAAAGGAAAUGAAAAUAGAACUUAAAAAUGAAAAGGAAAAAAUAUAUAAUAAAAAC